This 527-nucleotide ribosomal RNA is filed under the name uncultured bacterium. RNAcentral describes it as "bacterial SSU rRNA". It matches the Rfam family "Bacterial small subunit ribosomal RNA", at positions 777 to 1304 of the family's 1533-position model. The record is from RNAcentral.
AAUAGAUACCCGGUAGUCCAUGCCGUAAACGAUGUCUACUAGCCGUUGGGCCCUUGAGGCUUUAGUGGCGCAGCUAACGCGAUAAGUAGACCGCCUGGGGAGUACGGUCGCAAGACUAAAACUCAAAUGAAUUGACGGGGGCCCGCACAAGCGGUGGAGCAUAUGGUUUAAUUCGAUGCAACGCGAAGAACCUUACCUGGCCUUGACAUACAGAGAACUUUCCAGAGAUGGAUUGGUGCCUUCGGGAACUCUGAUACAGGUGCUGCAUGGCUGUCGUCAGCUCGUGUCGUGAGAUGUUGGGUUAAGUCCCGCAACGAGCGCAACCCUUUUCCUUAUUUGCCAGCACUUCGGGUGGGAACUUUAAGGAUACUGCCAGUGACAAACUGGAGGAAGGCGGGGACGACGUCAAGUCAUCAUGGCCCUUACGGCCAGGGCUACACACGUGCUACAAUGGUCGGUACAAAGGGUUGCUACUGCGCGAGCAGAUGCUAAUCUACAAAAAGACCGAUCGUAGUCCGGAUCGCAGU